AGUGAACGCUGGCGGUAGGCCUAACACAUGCAAGUCGAACGGCAGCACAGUAAGAGCUUGCCCUUACGGGUGGCGAGUGGCGGACGGGUGAGGCAUACAUCGGAAUCUACUUUUUCGUGGGGGACAACGUAGGGAAACUUACGCUAAUACCGCAUAUGACCUACGGGUUAAAGCAGUGGAUCUUCGGACCUUGCGCGACUGAAUUAGCCGAUGUCGGAUUAGCUAGUUGGCGGGGUAAAGGCCCACCAAGGCGACGAUCCGUAGCUGGUCUGAGAGGAUGAUCAGCCACACUGGAACUGAGACACGGUCCAGACUCCUACGGGAGGCAGCAGUGGGGAAUAUUGGACAAUGGGCGCAAGCCUGAUCCAGCCAUACCGCGUGGGUGAAGAAGGCCUUCGGGUUGUAAAGCCCUUUUGUUGGGAAAGAAAAGCAGCAGGUUAAUACCCCGCUGUUCUGACGGUACCCAAAGAAUAAGCACCGGCUAACUUCGUG
RNAcentral lists this ribosomal RNA (492 nucleotides) under uncultured bacterium. Its description in RNAcentral is "partial 16S ribosomal RNA". It matches the Rfam family "Bacterial small subunit ribosomal RNA", at positions 29 to 507 of the family's 1533-position model. The record is from RNAcentral.